UACGUAGGGUGCUAGCGUUGUCCGGAUUUAUUGGGCGUAAAGGGUGCGUAGGUGGCCUUAUAAGUCAGUGGUGAAAUACGGUUGCUCAACAAUCGAGGUGCCAUUGAUACUGUGGGGCUUGAAAUAAUUGGAGGCUGCCGGAAUGGAUGGUGUAGCGGUGAAAUGCAUAGAUAUCAUCCAGAACACCGAUUGCGAAGGCAGGUGGCUACGAUUGGUUUGACACUGAGGCACGAAAGCAUGGGGAGCAAACAGG
RNAcentral lists this ribosomal RNA (253 nucleotides) under uncultured bacterium. Its description in RNAcentral is "partial 16S ribosomal RNA". It matches the Rfam family "Bacterial small subunit ribosomal RNA", at positions 524 to 776 of the family's 1533-position model. The record is from RNAcentral.